Sarcophilus harrisii (Tasmanian devil) is the source of this 6109-nucleotide RNA transcript. It is a transcript of the gene named chromosome 1 C5orf34 homolog, with no coding region annotated. The transcript is spliced from 15 exons. The record is from RefSeq and is a predicted model, not a curated record. Lineage: Eukaryota; Metazoa; Chordata; Mammalia; Dasyuromorphia; Dasyuridae.
ACUUAAUUUACCCGUGAUUCUCCUCGGUGGAAUAGCCGCAUACUCCCACUCGUGAACACUAUACAUUUAUCAUGGUCUGCUAGACACACUUGCAGUGAUCCUUGAGGGCGCCAGAAUGAAAAUAUAGGAAGGCUCCCGCUGGAGCAAAGUGCAUAAACUCGAUCAGGAAACAGGGAGGGUGAAAAGGGAGUGGCGGAACGUUGGGUGUUUCCGGUGCCUACCUGACUUAGGUUGGCCACUCCCACGGAGCGGCGUCUGCCCCGGAGUGUUUCUCCGCCUCUUGUUCGAGCUAGCCAAUGAGCAGCGUAGCUCCAAGGAGGCGGGACUUCCUGCUUUCAACCCCGGGACGGUUAAAUCCUUUCGUGGAAAGUCGGAAGCUCCUAUUCCUCUGGAGGUUGUUCAGUCGACGCUACUCCCCGUCCUCCCUACGUGGUUUUAUCCUUCUCCAGCUUCCAGUAGUUUCUGUUUAUGCUGGCGUGCAAAGCUGUUUCAAAGAAGUAUUAUCGAUGACCCGGAACGGUUUAAUAUGCAUUGAGAAAACUGUGAUGUUAUGACCUAUUUAAUAUAGGGUUGUUCUUGGAAAACUUAUAUUCAUUAGCAAUGGAGAUUGAAAAGCGCAUGGUACUUUAUGAAGAUGAUUCAGUAGAAGUACACUAUCUUGAUGGCUCCAAAUUACAACUUUCUCCAUGUGGCUCCGAAUUCCUAUUUGAAAAGGCACCUCCUAUUUCCGCACAUCCUUUGCAGCAACCAGAAAGAAUUCGUCAAAGGACCCAAUUUGUUAUUAGUAAUUACAGAGAGCAAUUACUACAGGCCCUAGAUUUUAGAAAUUGCUUUUCUAAUUGUCCAUUUUUACCUGAAAGCAUUAUACCUUCUGAAAGAAAACAGUCUAUUUAUACUGAUAUCUCAGAAGUCAGGUGGCCCAGUCGUGAUACUCAUGAUGCAGUGAUUUGUAUGGAUGACGGCACUGUGAAGAUUUCAUCUUUAGAUGGUCAUGCUUAUCUUUGUCUACCUAAACAGCAGCAUGAAUUUACUAUACAUUUUUUAUGCAAAAUCAGCCAGAAGUCUCACUCACUAAUGGUACUGCCAGAAAAAAAGAGUAAUGAUUUUAAAAAAGUACAUCACCAAUGGGAAAAAGCAAGCAAAUGCUGUAUGUCUCAAACAACUUCUGAUGGACAAAUUUUGCAGAAUAAGGAAAAUAAUUCAUACUGCCAUAUCUUGAAAUCCAAGGAAUUAUUGGGGGCAAAUAAUUUUGUAAAUGAAUCUGAAGAAAAAGAAAUGACACCUUUGUCUCACAAGAAAUACACAUUUGUGUACACAUGGGUGAAACAGUGCUGGUCAAUGGAGUCAUGUCCAGAGCAAUGGAAAUACCCUUUAUCUUUGGCACUUGACUUUCUUCAAGCUGAUCAAAAUGUUAAACAGAUCCCAGUUUCAGCAUCUGAUAUUUCAAAGGAAGAUGAAGAGGUUUCUGUUCUUCCCAGAGCUCUUCCCCUCAGUUGUCAUAAUCCACAUCUGCACAGAUGGAAUUUCUCUGAUUCAUCUUUGCAGGAACAAGAAUAUACCUAUCCUGAACUUGCAAAAGUAGUAUGGUAUAAAGGUACAUUAUUUAGAUUAACUCUUGAAACUGUGAACUCAAUAGAAAUUUUUCCUGGUGAUGGAUCCAUUCUCAAAUCAGAAGGAACUUUUUUGGGGAACUAUUUCACAUUCUCUCCAGCACACAAAGAAUCAGAACAAAGAGAAGAGAAAAUGUAUUCAAUAAAAAACCUUCCUCCAGAUAGACCAGGGAAUUCGUAUUCUGUUUGUUCCCUUAUUACACAGGCCACCAGAAUUCUUCAACAUUGUGUCAAAAUUAGACUUUCUUUAAGCCAUAAUUAUAAUAUAUGCUGCUGGAAAAUGGUUUCUGGAUCAAAUAAAGGGAAUAUGCCAGUGCUUUUGAAGGAGACACUCAUUCCCAUGAUAGGAAGUUUUUUUGUGUAUUCUGAUGAUAAAGUAUUUGCUAUCUUUUUGGAUGGUGUUUCCUUAACCCUAAUUUGGAAUUUCAGAAAGACACAGAGAAAUCAAGGUGUUACCUUAGGUUGGUGUAAAUUAACUCUCCCAGAUGGACAAGAUCAUUUAAUUCAAAUGGAACAUCCUGGACAAUUUGAAAGGUAUGUGACAACAGUAGUAGCUUGGUGCAAGAGUCUUACUCAGACUAAUCUUCAGGAGAUUUUCACAUAUCCUCCAUCAUCACCUAUUACUGAAGAAAACUGGUCUGUUACUUCUGAACUUGAAAAAAUGCGAAAAUUUAACUUUUUAUUGGAGAACAAUAGUGUCCUAAAUCAGAUUUCUACUGAAAAAAACAAGCAGUCUUCUGGUAGUUCCAAGCCACAAUCUUCGGAACUCUGUAGCUUUUUUGAAGAAGUUAAUCAAAAGAGUGUAUCAUUAGCAUUGAAGAAAACCUCAGAAAUCCUUCAGGACAUUGAAUCUCUAAUAUCCAGUUCCAAAAAAUUUUGUUUAUGGAGCAACAGAUAUUAUUAAGAAUAGCCUGCAUGUACUUUUGCUAAAUGUUGAAGGACGAAGAUGAGUAUGACAGUUCCUGCCCUUGAAUUUAGCAAAGCAAUUUUAAAAGGAAUUUGAAGAAAUCAGAAGCUACACAACAAUGACAAAAAUAACGAAGGGGAUCAGAAAUAAACUUUAUGCUAAGUAGAAUCAACAAAUACCCAUGGAUUGAGUAAUGAACCUUGUAAAGGUCUUUCCUAUGAAAACUGAGUAUUCAUAAAUAAGUUUUAAUCUUGUUAUUUUUUUAAUAGCAUCUGGAUAUGUAGUAGGUUGCCUGGAAUUUAGGCCUGGGCCCUGAUCCUUAAUGAGUAACUGUGGAUACCAGCUUCUCUGCUACACUGUUCUUGCUACUCCUUGGUUGAAGUAGGGAGGCUUCAUGGUGCCAGAAGUUUCAUAUAGUUACUUUUACUGCAAUAGUAGUCCCCAAAAGUGACUUUUCGGGGCAAAAGUUUCAAUAUAGAGAGACCCCAUGGGUGGCAACUACAGUAAUUAUGAUGAUAACAGAGGUAACUAGUGACUAAGACAUCAAAGAGCAGUCAAGCUCAACAUCUAUGUAUAUUGUAUAUGUUUUCUGAAGUCCAGUAAUGGACUAUCUUGCAUUCUGGACUUGAUACUCAAAUUCAAUUGGAAUUUUCUAGUUUCAGCCUCCUUACCCUUAAUAGUUAUCAUGCCAAAUUGCCAUUAGGCUAGUGACAAAUUGAUUAUGAAAAUGUUUUUUAGUAAGUUAGCUCUGUCUCUGUCUAUCCCUAGCAUGUAAGUACAUACUCUGGUUAAUAAAUUCCAAAUUGGAAUUUGGUCCAAGACUUUUUUCAACUUAGUUGUUUAAGUUAAAGUGUUCUAUGCUUGACUUUUUUUUCUUUACAGAAUAAACUGAUUUUGACAGAAAACCAAGGAAUAAACAAGCAAUAAAUGAUGUUUCAUGCCUGAAAGGGAAAUUCAGCCAAACAGGGGAGACCUCUUAAGUCAGUAUUGCCUGAAGUAAUGUAGCACUUGAAGAACACGGGUUCUAAUUCUCCAAUGUCCCAUUCAUCUCUUAAAUUUUUUAUUCUAAUUAUAAUUGCUGCAUCCACUUCCACUUUCUGAAUUCUAUUGACUUUUAACCUCUGAAUCUGUUUCCUCCUUCACAUGUAAAAAUUUUCUUAAUUGUCAUUUAGAAAGGAAGAACUUGAUAGCACAUUGUAGACAAAUACAGAUAGAGGCAAUUUUUCUUUCAGUUGCCUUUGGAACUUGUCUAUUGAUCAAAGUAUUUAUUGAGUACCUACCAUGGUAGGUGCUUAGCAUUCUGAGUUAUUGAGAAGACAAAGUCUUUUGACAGAAUUUAGUAUCUAGGGAGAUGACUAAGUUCUUUAAGAGUAGAGAAGGGAAAAUAAAAAAUUUCCCCAUCUUCCCUCCUCUCAGUGCUUUUGUUCUAGUUGAGGCACUUAUCAAUUCUCUCCCAGUCAAAUAUGACUAUUACUCCCCUAGAUUUUCUGCUUCUAGGCAUUCCAUCAGUCUGACUUUCAAAUAGUUGCCAAAAUAUUCUAAGACACAAGUUUGAUCAUGUCACUUCACCACUAAAAACCUGUAGUGUCUUCCCUAUUGCCUGUAGCAAACAUUUUAGCCUGGCAUUUCAGGUUUUCCAUAAUCUGUCUCCUACCUAGCUUUCUAGUCUUAAUUUUGGACUACUACCCUUCAUAUUAUAUCUAGCAAAAUUGGACUAUUAACUAUUGCUUUAUCUUUUGUAUUUUCCCACUACUAUAAAUGUAUUCAGGCUGUCUUCCUAAUGUGAAACACUCUCCACAUCUCUACCUCUUAAAACAGUUCUCUCUGUUCAAGACCCAGUGCAGGUGUCAUUCCUCCAACUAAGUCUUCCCUAAUCUCAACGCCUCCCUCCCCCAACUAAAAGCAAUAACCUGCUCAAAUUUUCUUAAGGAUCUUACAGUAUGAGUUUUCAUUAAAGGCAAUAUCUUUUUUUAAUCUAACAUAAUGUCUUAUACAUAGUAGGCAGAAUUUAUUAUUGAAUUGAGAAAUGGAGAACCAAAGAAGGCAUCCUAAAGGGGUUGAUUUGGGCUGUCCCUGCCAAGUUAGAUGACAUUAGCAUGAGCAGAGUCCUUCCUCCAAGGAAAAAGGACAACCCCAUAGGCUAGAGUACAUGCUGAGGAUUAAAUUCUUCUUGAUCAUAAGAUCAUACAUGAGGAGCUUAAAGAUAUCUUCUUAGAUAUCAUAUAGUUCAACUCUGAUUUUAGCAAUGAAGCAAUGAAGACCUAGAAAGGUAGAAACAUUUUUACCAAAGUAGCACAUGUGACAGCCCUGAGAGCCCAAGUUCCCUGACUAACAGCUUUCCACUAAACCAUGAUACUUUUUGAUAGUUUGGCAGAGCUAAGACAGGAGAGUUCAGAUUUGUGUAAGCAAGAACAAGUUUCCAAGGCCAUUAAUGACUUGGUGAAAGCUGUUUCUGUUGAAGAUGUAUGCCAGAGUUCUUUGGAUGAAUUGAAGAUGAAGGGAAUCAUUCUCAGAACUGGAGGUGGGGAAUCGGGGAACUUCCAGCUAAACAGUUAAAUGCCACAUGCAUAGAGUAGACAGCUAGAUAAAAAGUCACCUCCACACCCACAGACUUGUGUAUCUGACCUAAGCCUAAGAGUUUGGGCUCAACAUCUAUAAGAGAUAACUUUGUCCCUGUACCCAAGAUCAUAUAAGGUCUGUCUGAAUUUCCUAGGGCAAACUCUGGAGUGUCUAGUAAAGAAGUUCCCUUUAAUCAUGAGCCACAAUGAAUCUGGCUUUGGAGAAUAAGAAGCUUUUACUACUAUGUUUGGUUCUUUGUUGAGGUGUUCCAAGAAACUUUCUCCCUCCCCAGAGAAGAUAGACAAUAUCUAGGUAAUUGAUGGAAGGAGAAAGAUUUCCUCUUCCUGAAAAGAGUGAGUUAUAUGCUAGAUCCUAAUCUUUAUUAGAAGUCAACCUUCACCCAAUGGGGGCAGGCUAAGAUUAUUUUUUUUUUGCCCAUCUUGAGAUAUCAGUUUCUGAGUAACUGUCUAUAAGUGAUUAUCAGAAAGCAUUAUUUUCAUUUGUUUUAUUUAUAUAAUAUUCCCAGAAUUUCAUGGAAGUAAACUGAGAAUUGAGGUGGUCUGGCAACUCUUAUAGAAUCAGUGUGGUCCUCUGGAGGACAUAUCUGAGUAAGAUGUGAUAUAUAGAUCACCUGGAUAUACCAGGUUGAGAUGAUUAUAGGGCCCAGGAUCUGUAUAACCUACCACCCUUCCCACCCAGCCACACACAUAACUCAGUGACAAAACAAGGACAAAAAGAACAUUGUUCUGUAAGGACAAAAAGACUGGCCUUGAAUAAGCCCCUACUUGAAGAUUUUUAAAAAGCCAUCAAACAAGGGGACACUGAAACACAUGGAAGGUUGGUAUGUAGAAGCUGUUGAUUUUCAUCUAUAAAUGACCCUUGGAGGAAAAUUACAUCCUAAUAUAUUGUGCUAAUUUUGGAAUUUUCCCUUAAGCUGUUUUUUUAAAAUUGUAUCUUGUCUUAAUUAGUUUGCAAGCUCCUUUAAGGCAGGAACUGUCUUUGUUUUUAUUUGUAGUUGUGUUGUUUUUUCAAU